Molecule: ribosomal RNA, 460 nt
Filed under: uncultured bacterium
Lineage: Bacteria
Description: partial 16S ribosomal RNA
Rfam family: Bacterial small subunit ribosomal RNA
Source: RNAcentral
CCUACGGGUGGCAGCAGUGAGGAAUAUUGGUCAAUGGACGAGAGUCUGAACCAGCUAAGUAGCGUGAAGGAUGACUGCCCUAUGGGUUGUAAGCUUUUUUUAUAUGGGAAUAAAACAGGGUAUGUAUACCAGCCUGUACGUACAAUAUGAGUAAGGAACGGCUAAUGCCGUGCCAGCAGCCGCGGUAAUACGGAGGUUCCGAGCGUUAGCCGGAUUUAUUGGGUUUAAAGGGAGCGUAGGUGGAUGGUUAAGUCAGAUGUGAAAGUUUGGGGCUCAACCGUGAAAGUGCAUUUGAAACUGGCAGUCUUGAGUGCAGUAGAGGUGAGCGGAAUUCGUGGUGUAGCGGUGAAAUGCGUAGAUAUCACGAGGAACUCCGAUGGCGAAGGCAGCUCACUGGACUGCAACUGACGCUGAUGCUCGAAAGUGUGGGUAUCAAACAGGAUUAGAUACCCCGGUAGUC